RNAcentral lists this long non-coding RNA (355 nucleotides) under Olea europaea (common olive). Its description in RNAcentral is "long non-coding RNA (OEUR_LNC006867)". The record is from RNAcentral. Lineage: Eukaryota; Viridiplantae; Streptophyta; Magnoliopsida; Lamiales; Oleaceae.
UCUGCAGGCUUGAAUAAGAGUCGGUAUAGUUUUUACCAAACUUUGGGGCGCCACCAGAAACUAAGAUACCUGGGAAAAUGGUAUCGCCCAAAGGUGGUAGAUUCACCAGGGCCCCAACAUCCCUAAGAGUAAUAGACAUAGGGCCGAGAGGGAAAAUAAACGUAUUAUACUCGAAAGACCAAAAGCUCAAAGCAAUCGAAAAAAGUGCAGAAUCAAAAGUAGGAGGGCGAAUAGAGAUUUCUAACAAAUCAGAAAUCCUAGCGCUAUCAAAAAGUGCCUUAGUAGGACCAUGACCCACAAGGCGAGCAUGCCACCUACGAAAAGCUACGUCAGACUUAGGCCAAGUGCGAAUACC